CACGUAGGUGGGUUUGCAAGUCAGAUGUGAAAGCCUUCUGUUCAACGGAAGAAUUGCAUCUGAAACUGCUAAUCUUGAGUAUAGGAGGGGAGAAUGGAACUUCUGGUGGAGCGGUGAAAUGCGUAGAUAUCAGAAGGAACGCCGGCGGCGAAAGCGAUUCUCUGGCCUAUUACUGACACUCAGUGUAGCGAAAGGCUAGGGAAGACAAC
Molecule: ribosomal RNA, 209 nt
Filed under: uncultured bacterium
Lineage: Bacteria
Description: partial 16S ribosomal RNA
Rfam family: Bacterial small subunit ribosomal RNA
Source: RNAcentral